Molecule: long non-coding RNA, 19587 nt
Organism: Brassica rapa (field mustard)
Lineage: Eukaryota; Viridiplantae; Streptophyta; Magnoliopsida; Brassicales; Brassicaceae
Source: RefSeq, a predicted model, not a curated record
UGAACAUCAAGUGUUCUCACUUGCGCAUAGAAGAAGAAGCGAGAGAGACAGAAGAGAAAGUGAAGUGAAAGAGAAAUAAAGAGAAACAGCAGAGCUUGUGUUUUUUUUUUUUCACUUCAAAAGAGGUAUCAUAAUGCUUUAAUGGCCGAUCAGAUCACAGAGGAGCAAUAAUCAGAACAAGAACCAAACAACCCGAGAGAUUAUCUCAACACAUACUUUUAAACUGUUUUCUUUUUCCUUUAUUAUAACAUGAAAUGUUAAAUUCGAAUAUACCAAAAAAUGUUUGAAAGAAACCUGCAACUAACUUGUUUGUUUCAUUUGCUCGGUACUAAUUAGAAACUAAUCGUAAUCUAGAAAUCAGAAACCAUUUAAUGACUGGUUAUCAAACCUAACCAUGGUUAGACCAUUUUUCCUAUCCUCUUUACCCAUCUCUUUUCACCCAUGGUAAAGUGAAUAGUUCAUACUGCUGCACUAGGGUAAAAAGAUAAGAUAUGUUGAUGAAUGUAAUUGGGAAAUGGUGAAAUAUGUAAAGCAAAUUUACUAAAUGAUAUAACUGGUAGACGACUAGGUAAAUAGUAAUUAAGAUUGUUACCCCUAAGAAAAGACAUUUUUUUUAUUUAUUUCUCAUCCUUUAUUCUAUCAAAUUGACCUUUACCAAAACAAAAUGUAAUUCUAAUGGAAUGCUAUUGGGAGAUGAUUUGUGCCCAGUUGACGAAUUUUAAAACUGAUAGAUUUUAAAAGUUUUUUUUUUGUAAAAGAAGAUUUUAAAAGUUAUGUGGAUUAUGAAAAUAAUAUAUAUAUAUAUAUAUAUAAUUUUGAUUUGUAAAAUUCUGUAACCCUUUUUAUAAAUUGAUAUAGACCUCCACAAUGUUAUAAAACCGGUCUAGGCAUCUAGACGGCAACAAAUCAGGUAGAAAUGAAACGAUUUGUUCAAACCGUGUUUUUUUUAAUAUUGGUCUAUGCAUUAAAAAAUGGUGUAGGGCGUCUGCCUAAACAUUGAUCAUUUAUAAGGCGGCUAACCACCUCCUAGCAAUUUUUUGAUCAUUGGAUUUUUAUGGAUUGUAUUAAUAGUUUUGUCAUUCUUUUUGUAAAGUAAAUUUAUGAUGUAUAGCAUGUUUAUUUGUCAUUUCGUAAAAAAAAAUAUUUGUUUAAAAUAAAAUAAGAAGGGUACAUGUAUAAUUAUGUUAAUAUGAUCAGCUGAAUACUAUAUAUUAAUAGUUUUAACUAUAUUCUAUUUGUCUGGAAAUUGUUAUGCUAUUUUAUUUAAUCACGAAAACAUAAUUAAAGAAAACAAUAAUUAUACAAUGAAAAAUAUAAAAAUAUAGAGGAUGAUGAAUUAUAUAUUUGUUAACAAUAGUUAUUUUGAAAAUCUCAUAGAUUCGCAUAGUAUUUUGAAUUUUUUAUAAUGAGUAAUAAAUGUAAAAGAUUCAUCUCUUAGUAACACUAGAGUUUGAAUUAGAGAAUCAAAUAUAAGUAAAAAAAUUUGAAUAGUAAGAAAUUUUAAAGGAUUUUAUGUCAAACCAAUAACAAAGGACUUUACCAAAAUUUUAAAAAUUUAUAUACCAAUAGCAAUGUAAUCUCAAAAAGUUUAUUAAAAUUUAAGUGACAAUACCAGCAUUGUCUGGAAAUUGUUAUGCUAGUUUAUUUAGUCAAAAAGAAUUUAUAUUGAAAUGACCAAUUUGAAUAUUAUUUUAGUCAAAAUUUAUUUUCGUUUAUUUACUGGUAAUAUAUGUUACCAACACCAUUAGUGUAAAAUUAAAACAGCAUUGUUUCUUAUAACAUCCAUAAUUUUCAUUUUAAAACAAAAAAAAAUUGUCAUGAUUUCAAAUUUAUAUGUUUUCAAAAAUAUACAAAGAGCCAUCAAAACAUCAAGUGAAAUUUAAAUGGAAGAUGAGUUAAGUAUAAUAUUUUGCAUUCCUUAAGUAAAAUUUUGAAUGAAUUUUAAAGCAAAUUUCCAGAUUUCACAAUUUUCUUGAAAAAUAUCAUCAUACAUUUUUGUCCCAAAAAUUAAUAAUUAUAAAAUUGGUUUGAGUGAUAAGAAAGCAAGAUAUGACUUUUUUAUUACCCUCAAUAAAUUAGUAGUUUAGAGAGAGAUCGAAUUUGAGAAGAAUACUCGAAAUCAUGAUGUAUGGACCGGGAAAUAAAAUUGGGGAGUUUGAAAGUUAAAAAGAUGUCAUUUGUUUGUUUUACUUGUUAGAAUAUUCAUCUUUUUCUAAAAAAAUAAACUAUUUUAAUAAUUUACCCUAAAAGAGUAAAUAUAGUGUUGUUCUUUUUGUUUUAAUUGAUUCUAAGGGAAUUUGGUAAACAAUGAAUGCAUCUAGUAUAAAUUUCUUCCACAAUUUUAUUUUUGUAUAUCAAUUUAACUAAAUAUUAUUUAAAUAAAUGCUUUAAUUUUUAAAUAAGAAUAAUAUUUCACAUGAUUGGUUCAAAAAAUUUGCAAUUUUUUUAAAAGGUUGACCAAAAAAAUAUUUUAUUUUUAGAUGAAAUUUCAAAUUUAUUAAUUUAUAGAAAAAACUGACAUUUAGAAAAGAAUCAAGGUUAUAAGAAUAUCAAUAGAAUUUAAAAUUAUGAAAGAACAUAAUUUAUACAUUAAAGACUAUAGGAUAAUCUGGAACCAUCUUUGUAGUACACAUGCAUAUUUGUGCUGAAGGUUGUAUUUUAGAGGCAUGAUCUGUAUGAUAUGCUGGUACUGAUCCGUAGAUGUCUAUUGCAUGUCAUGUCGCCUAGCCUUCUUCUCUCGCCAUAUAUGGUAGAUUGUCAUUUGGAAAACCAGUUUGAUCAAAACAAAGUGGAGUCGUUGAAGUCUAGGUUAUUAUACCAUUGUCAGCGUCUAUUGUUAACUCAGAUUUGUUUGCGAUUCAAAUAUUCCUCAAACCAGACUUUUUCAAACAGUGAAACGAGUGAGGAUAAUAAAAAAUAAUAUAAUUUCUUGUCUCAUCCCUCUCCGCAUAACUCUCACCCAUGUGUUAUACCCCAAAAUCCUACACCCUACUCCGACCAGUUAGUAUAAUAUGUACUAGAUUUUGAUAUGUGUUUAGAAAACGCAUAUUUUUUUUGAAUAAAUAAAAAUGUUUGAUAUCAAUUAGUAUUUGAUUUUAUUUACAUUAUUGAGUUACAAAGAUGUAGUAUAUCGAAACAACAAUUGCUUUUUAUUUAAAACUAUAUCAUUUAUCAAUUAGUUCAUUUAAGAUUUUUUUCUGUAUGUUAAAUUGUCAUUUUUAUAUUUGUGUACAUUUUAGAAGAGUUACAUUUGUUGAAUCGGUGAGACAUAAUACUCACUUAUUUGCAGAUUUUUGACUAAUUUAUUAAUAUAUAUUUGUAAAAACUUUAAUAGUUUUAACAAUGCUUACCUAUCCGAUCCAGACCCGCGGUCGAACCGGUAGAUAUUGUAUAUAAUCCAGUUCGGAUUUCGUUAAAAUCUAAUAUUUAAAAACCAGAUAAAAUUUUGUUAAUAUACGACCCAACACUAGUUGAUCCGAUAAAAACCAUAUAAAUUUGAAAAAAUAAAAUUAACAUGAUCCAAAUUUUAAUAUAAAUGUUUUUAUUUGUGAUUCUUUAAACUCAAUUACGCAAAUAUAUUUGAAUAACAAACCAACUACAACAUUGUGUGUAUAGUUAACAUAAACUUUUAUGCUAUAAUGUUUUCUACCGCGGGUCUGAUUAGUAUAAGUUAUAGCAUUAAAUGUUAGUAUGCUAAUUUCAUAUUUAUUAAUCAGAGAAUAUAGUUAGAUUAUUUUUUACUGUAAUAUCCAUUUUACAUUCCCUAAAAUAUCUCUUGUUUUCAAUGUAAAUAAAAAACAAGAGCAUUGACUAUCAUAUAGUUAGAGAAAUACUCCCUCCAUUUUUAAUAUAAAUCGUUUUACAGCUAUACACAUAGAUUAAAAAAUCAUUAAUUUCUUAUAUUUUCUAUACAAAAACAUCAUUAAUUAUUUACUUAACCACAAUUCAACCAAUAGAAAAAUAGAAAAUAUAUUAUUAAUGGUCAGACAACAUUAAUUAUUAAUAAAUUUUACAUUGAAAACCGAAAACGACAUAUAAUUUAUAACAAAAAAGUUUCUCUAAAACGACUUAUAUUAAAAACGGAGGGAGUAUAAAAUAAGACAAAAAAAAAUAUUUAAGUCUAAUGUAAUGGUGCAACAACCUUGUCUAAGUAGAUUUUUUAAGAAUCUUUUCUUUUUAAUAGUAUAGAUUUUUUACCGUAAUAUCUAUUUUACAUUCCCUAAAAUAUCUAUUGCUUUCAAUGUGAAUAAUAAAUAAGAGCAUUGACUAUCAUAUAGUUAGAGAAAUAUAAAAUAAGACUAAAAAAUUAGUUAAGUAUAAUGCAAUGGUGCAGCAACAUUUUCUAAGUAGAUUUUUUUAAAACUUUUUCUUUUUUUAAUAGUAUAGAUUCUCACUUUUAUCCAUUACCAACCUUGUGUAUAUAUUUAUUUAUUUUUCAAGAAAUACACAUUAUAUAACUCAUUUUAACUUCUUCCACAUUUUGAAAACAGAUUAUCCUACUUUGCGGAGAAUACAAAUAUAUAGUUCCUAAAAUGUUUUGUUCUGUGAAAUUAGUUUGAAAUAUUUUAAAUUCUAUGUUUUAUCGUUAGUGGAUGGUCAUUAUGUAUCUCUUCUCCCAUUUUUAAGAUGAGUGGUCCUGUUUUUAAAACAAUUUACUAAAUUUUGAUUGAUUCUAUGUCAAAAUAAUUAAUUUUAUUUAAUCUAUUAAAAUUGGGUUUUAAUUUAUAAGAAACUUUUAGUUGAUGUGUUAUUUACAUAAUAUAUCGAGGAUAUUUAAAUUUAGUUUUAAUCUUUUAUUAAAGAUAUCAAAGUAAUGUAAUUUUUAGACCAAUUAGUUGGUACGUAUAUUGUGAGAGUAGGCAACCAAAGUCCUCAAAAUACGGAAUGGAUAAUAAAAUGUAUUAAAACAUUAAACUAUAAAAUAUAAGAUAAUUGACUGAAAAGUUUAUAUCAACUAUUUUAUAUAUAGAUUAAAUUUGGUUUUAUCAAAAACUGUAAAAAUAUGGUGAAAUAAAAACAUAUACACAUCACUGUUACAAAUUAAAAAAAAUUAGCCUAGACAUUUUUGAUCUCUAAACCCAAUACAUAAAUGAAAUAACUAGAUGAAAUACAUACAUGCCACACAUUUAUACUCCUAACUAAUGUUAAAACUAUAAAUCUAUUGUUAUUAAAUUAUAAUAAAAUCAUUUCAGUGAUUAGUGAAUAUGUUAUAUAAAGAUAAUAUGUUUUUUAACAAAUGUUAUUGAUUGUAAAUAGCCUACGCUAUGCUAAAGUCAACUCUAAUGAAUCUCUUUUUUUGAACAACUAUUCUAAUGAAAAUCAAAAACAUUAAAUUUGGUAUAACUUUAUUUUUCUAGUGAAACUUUAAAAUAAUACUAUUUCCUCAAAUUUGGUUUUAUAUCAAUAGUGUUACAUUCCGUACUAACCAUUUAAAUAAUAUUUUAUUUUUAAUUUAUUAAUAUGAUUAAAUUAAUUUUAUUAAUUAGUUUAAAUUCUUAAAAGUAAACAUAUCACAACAUUUGUAUUCUUAUUUUCACAUAAUUAACGUUAAGAUUUUUAUUUAUUUUUACUUUAUAAUAUAUCUACAUUACUAUUUAUUAAAUAUUUAAACUUGUAAUUAAAAAAAGUAUUUUUUAUUUUUAUUUUUACUUAUUUUUAUUAAAUAUGAUAUAUAUAUUAAAUAUGAUAUAUAUAUUAAAUAUGAUAUAUAUUUCAUUAUUUAUUAAAUAUGAUAUAUAUAUUUAUUAAAUAGUUCAAAUUUGUAACUAAAUAUGCUAAACCAAGUUUUAAACAUAAUAUAAUUUAUGAAUGAUUGUAUAUAUUUAAUUUAUCAAUUUUAUUCUUUAUUCAAUGGAGGAUUGCUAAAUUACAAAUAAAUAAUACUUAAUAAAAUUAAAAUUUGAUAAUAUAACAAUAUAAAAUAAUAUUUUGAUGUGAAAUUUAGUGUUAUGAUUUGAAAUUAGAAAUUAAAUCAAACACCAAAUACCAAAUUUAAUGUCAUGAUUGAAGUUGUCUUUAAAAAAUCAUACUUGUUUUCAAAACUAAAUGAUUACAUGUCAAAAAUAAAUUACUGAAAUAUUAAUCAGAUAUUGUUUAAGAUCCACUAAAUAAUAAUUAUGUUUCAUUUUAAUUGUCAUUUUAGAUUUAUGCACGCAGAUUAAUAAAACAUUUAAUUUUGAAUAUUUUCAAAAUAAAAAUACAAUUACCUAUACAACUAACCAGAUUUCAACCAAAAGAAAAAUAAACUUGAAAAUAUUGUUCAUAAAUUUUACAUUAAAAUUCUAAAACACACUUAUAUUUUUGAGAAAAAAAAAUUUUACCACAACAGUUAAACUGAAAUGAAAGAAUAUAUAGAAGGAGAUUGAGUGAUUUAUUAUGAUCCACCGCGACAUCAUUAAAAAAAUUACGAACUGUCUUAAUGAUGUCAUAAAUUAAAAUAUAACAUACGUGGGAAGGGGUUGACCCGGAGAUUAAUACGCGGCUGCUUUUUUUGUCACAGUAUACACGGCUGUUAAAAUGGAUUUUUGAGAUGUACUCGUCCGAUUGUUUUGUCAGGCUUACAUCUGCCAAAGAUAACCUUACACGUCACACCCCAGCUCUAUCAAUUUUAGUUCAAAUCUUUGUGAUUUUCACCUGUUAAAAUUUAAAACUAGUUUUCUAAGAUUUAGAAAGGUAGUUUUAUCUUGUUUAAAAAAUGGGUUUUAUCUUGUAGUUUUUGGUUUUUGUUUCUAUAAAAUCUAUUUUUCAUCCAAUCAAGAUUUUCAAAAAAUGGAUUCCCUAAAAUAUAGAAAAAUUUGUUUUUUUCAAAUAAAUGUUUUCUUAAUACAAAAACUAAAAACAGGCUUUUGACUAUGGUUUUCAGUUUUCUUUCUUUCUAUUUUACCCAUUAAUAUAGGAAAAUAUAUAAAAAUGCUAAUUACUAUAAAAAUAAGGUAUUGUAAAAUUCAAAUCUGUGUUCUAUUGUGACAGUGGGUCUAUUAUAUUCACAGGCUGUCAAGAAAAAAAAAUUGAAAAUUGGUUAAUUUAAAAUAAUUAGUAUAUACACAAGCAUCAAUUUUAUAUCUAUGCUAAUUGAAACGAACACUAUAUGUAAUAAAACUAGUAGAGUGUGAAUGAUAUUCUAAUGAAAUCAAUUUUUUUUUUAAUUAAUUGAUCUUCAUAAAAAAAUUGCUUUACUAUAGUGAACUACACAGUAACUUAUAUACAAUUUUAUACCUAUCAAUAAAAUAAAUUUAAUAAUUCAAAAUUAAUUAUUAAAAUAAUAUGUAAAUAUUACUGUUAAUAAAUUUUGUAUUAUUCAGAAAAAUUAAUUUCAUAAUUUUACUAUUUCAUGCAUAUAAACUAUAAGACUUUAUAACCAAUAUAGUUCUUAGUAUAUAAAAAUAUUUUUCAAAAACUUGUCAAUAAAAUAAAACUAAAUCCCGAGUCAGUGGUCGGGUGGCGUAUGGCGUUCCAAGGUUCCUUAAGGGACAUGAGUUCGAAUCUAUCGCCACUCAGAUUAUCCUGAUUUGUGGCACUUGCCGCAUGAAGUUUCCGUCAACGUAAACCCGGAUGCAAUGCCUCGUGAGAUUAGUCCGGCUUCGGUCCGGGAACUCCAUAAUAUAAAAACAAUAAAAUAAAUAAAUUUAUAAAAUAAAACCAGUUUUAUGUAAAGUUAAGUUAAGUUCUUAAAAAUAAUAGACAACUACUAUAAUUAAAUAAAUUAAUAAUCAAAACUUUAAAGAAAUGAAAAAUAUACAGAAAAAAAUAAUAUUAAAAAUUAGAAAAAGAAAAAAAAAGAAAAAAAGAAAAAAAAACAAAUAUCAAAAAUCAAAAACCAGAAUCUAAAAUCACCAUUCAUGUUUUUGAAAAAAAAACUAAAAGUUACUGCAAAAUCAAAAACCAAAAACUAAAAACUAAAAUUCAAAAACUAGAAACUAAAAACCAAAAUCUAAAAUCUAAGUAAACAAUCAUCACCUUAGUUGAAAUUGUACGUAAGGCUCUUUCUCUAUGUAUAUGAGAAGAAAAAAGCUAAAGCUACGGAUGCAUAGAGUUGUUUCUCGAGUUUUUGGUGUUUGUUUUGUAGGAUUUUUAUUAUUAUAAAUUAAAAUUAAAACAAUUAUUUGGACUAAAAUAAAUUCGUCUAUAGUAAUUUUUAUAAUGGGACUAUUAGCGUUUCUAUUUUCCCAAAUCAUCCAUCCAUCAUUCAACUCGAGAACGGAUCCAUACUUUUAUGAGUUUUCUUCUCGCCACUUUCUAUCAAACAACGACCUAUGUAAGAUGGAGGAUUUGUCGAUUUGUACUAAUUUAGAUAAAAUUUUGAUGUCAAAACAAAUUAAAGAAAAAUUAUAAAAAGGUUUAAUAUAAAAUGUACAUAAAAAUUUUUGUACGUUCGUUUUCAAAGGAUGACCAAACAAAGUCGAAAAAGAACGAGCAAACCAAAAAUAUAUAAUAGUAUAGAAUAAAUGGACAUGAGGAAGGGAAAAAACAAAAGGAUCAACUAAUACAUGACUUCUGAAAAAAAAACAUUAAUAUCAUCGACAAGACAUGCAGUUUCUUUGUCUUUCUAGUGUAUUUCAGCCAUAUAUUCUACAUCAUAUCUCGAAUACACACACACUGAUAUAUACAUAUAAACGUGUAUAUAAAUGCAUAUAUAAUUAAUAAAUGGACAUGACAUUGCCAAAAAGAAGGAAAGAAGCAACACAAAAUUAGAAUGGUAAGUAAAUGAUGUGUUGGUGGGUUGUCUUACAUUAUGCUUUAUGAAUGGUCCAUUCCUAUCUUAAACUCACCUCUGUUCUUUGUUUUUCCCUGUUGUUAAAAUCUUAGUCUUCUUCACAAACUAUAUACACUUAGUUUUCUUGAUUUGUGCUCAAUUUGUCUCUGCGCACGAAAACUUGGGUGUAAUUAGUAUCUAAUGGAGUAAAACGGUGGGAAAUAGAGAAAAAAUAAAAACAAAAUCCAGAGUAAAAUUUUCCUCCCGGUUAAUGUAAAGGAACAAAUUAUUCUACUUUUACUUUCUUUUAGCGUAAACAAGGUAAAAAUAUAUUUUACCUGAUUGUACAAAAGUGGCGUAACACAUCAGAAAUAUUUUUUACUCUAUUAUUUUCUCGUCAAUUGUGCUUUGCAAUCCCACUUUUAUACUUCUUCAGUGUCAACAAUCUCACAUACAAUUUGACGUUAACAAGUAAUUUUAAAUCCAAUGUUGAAGAUAAUUUAUAAAAAAAAAUUGAGGAAUUAAUUGAUGAAUGGAAAAUAUAUUGACGAAUUUGUAUAUAAAAUUGAAAUUUAGUAACGAACGGGUUGACUUAUACACUUCUUAGAGAAAAUAUUAGAUGUUGAAUCAUACAUGAAUACGUUUAAAUGACCCAUUAAGCAACAAGAAAUCUUAAAACUUGGUUAUUAGUAAUUAUUACAGUUGAAAAGGGUUAUUAAUAAUUACUCACAUGUGGAAACCCUCUAGUCCAGUGGUUUGAGUAAGAGUUCAUUAAUGGUUCUAUACUAGGAGAUAUGAGGUUCAAACCCUAGAAAAACGCAAAUUAUGCAGAUCAUGAAAAAAAGUAGUUACAAGAUGUCUUCAGCAUGGUGCAAGGACAUAUCAUCGAACAUAGAUCUCAUAGAGCGGCUCAGAGCGAUGCAGUCAGACGUGCAUUCUCAUAUAAUGGUAGAAUUGCCGGCUGUAAAAUCGUCUAUAUAAUAUUUCUCAUCGUUGUAAUAGCAUAAUUAAUCAGACGUUAAAAAAAAAAAGUAAUUACUCACAUAAAACAUAUACAGACUAUCGAACAUAUAAACAUUUCCUAACCAGAAUUUUAUUAUAUUCGACUACUAUAGGUAAACCUGCAAAGCAAUUUGUACUACCGUACAAUCUUUCUGGAUUCAGAAAGUACCAUUAAAAUUAGGAUAUAUGUUGCCUUCGGAAAUAUUUGUCAAUCUACUAUUCAAAAAUCUUUAUAGGUAAAUGUUUCCGUGAUCAAAAAUAAACUUGUAUGCUAUUUCAUAGAUAUAUAAUAUUUCCGUAGCAAUAUUUUCUGUCAUUAUAGUUCUGAGGAAUAACAUACUAAUUUAAAAUCUUAAAGUAGUAAUAUCAAUAAAUGUUUUGAACUAUAUUUGUGCUGUCUGGUCAGCCGCUGAGAAAGUGAAUAUAUCAAAGUUAGUACUGGAAAUUUUGUGAUUAUUUAUGAUUUUCUUACUUAGAAGUCUUUAUAUCUGUUGUUCAAAAAAAAAAAAGAGGUCUUUAUAUCAAAAUUAAGUCUUAACUAUAUUUGUAACUUUUAGUUUAGCUUAAAUCACCUGUAACGGAGGAUUGAAUUUUCUUCGGUGUACUGAUUGUAUCGUUCUGCCUGAUGCCUAGAGAUGGUAAUCAUGGAUUUGGACCGCAGACAUGACCCAUAAAAAACUGUCACGGAAUGGUAUUGGGACGAAGUUUUCUAGGCCCGUAAAUUUGCAGGCAUCACGGGACGGAUUUUUGCGGGACUGGAUUUUUUACGAGAUGAGCCGAAAAGUGAGAGAGUGAGAAAAAAACGAUUUUUUUGACUUUUCCCCUAUAAAACAUAAAGAGUUCUGGCGAUGACGAUUCAAGCUAAGGUGAUGAUGAUUCAAGAUCCGGCGAUGACGACUCCAGCUCCAGCGAUGACGAUUCGAGCUCUGGUGGUGUUUUGAUUUGGUUUUCACUUUUUAUUACACACAACUAUGAAUUGAUUUAUUACAAUGUGGGAUUUCUUGUUUAAGUUGAUUGAUUUUAUUUUCAGUACUAUGAAAUGGUGUUUUUCUUAAAUUAAAUUUGGUUACAAUGAUAUGGUUUAGGAGAAAAGUUAGUUGUAUAUCAUGUCACUUGUAUAAUUUGACAAAGUGAUUCAUGAUUUUUUUUUUAAAUCCAAAGAAUUACGAAAAGAGAUGGUUUGUUGAAGACAUACAACAUUUGAACCAAGUUAUUACAAAAACAACUACAAUCAGAUUCAAACUUAAUAAAAUCUUAUGCUGAUAACAAAAAAAAAACUUUUAACUCAAGAUUGCAAACACAAACAGAGCUUUAUGGCAUUGAUUUUGAUAAGACUUUAGUGAAGCUUAAUGAGCUCUCUUCAACUCUCUUACACAACUUUUCCACUUGAACAUUCAUGAAAGAAGUUGUAGUAGGCGGACUGAUAAGGAGGCAUCCCGCGGGAUGGCCCGCGAAUGCCUUAUAUAUUCAGCGAUACGGGUUUGGGCCGGCAUUCUGAAGACAGCAGUCCGCAGGGGACACGCCCGCUGUGACCCGCUCAAUGACAAACCCGCCGCGGUACGGGAUGGGACGAGAAAGAUAAACCUGUUUGACAUCUCUAUCGAUGCCCUUUGGGGAAGAAAUGAAUAAAAUAUAUUUUAUUUAAAAUAAAAAGUCUUAAAUAUAUCUAUUAUUUAGGAAAAUAUUAAGUAGGAUGGGCACAAAGAGUAUAUCCAAAAUUUUAAAAGUAUAUCUGAGGAUAAUCAAUUUUCAAUUCGAUUUGAUUUGUAACUUUUUCAUAUUUGAUAUUUUGGAUAUCAGAAAAUUAGCAUUUUUACUAGAUACCUGAUCUGAUCCAUAAAAAGUAAUAAAGAAAAAUAUAAAAAUAAUAAUAUUUCAUUAGUUUUUUAAAAAAAUUACACUUUAAAAGUUUUAGUAAAUAAAUAAUCAAUUUAGUGAAUAAAAUAUUAUAAAAUUAUAUAAAUACAUGAACAAUGAUAUGCUAUCUUUUUUUUUGAACAACUACAAUGAUAUGCUAUCUAAUUAUACAUAUGUAUAUAUGAAUAUAACGGAUCGGAUAUCCGUUGGAAAAUAUUUUAGUGUUUGCUAUUUAGUCCAUCUUUAACAGAUAAUAAAUAUUAGUAUUUGAUUUGAUUUGUAAAAUUACUAAUAUUUUUAUAUUUUGAAUCAAACCGACACAAAUAAUGUAUCAAAUCAAAUUAACAAAUAUUUUGCCCAUCCCCCCCUCCAGAUUACGAAGAGAGUAUAUAUGUAGAGUAGAGAGUGAUGGUUGAAAGACAUGAGAUGUGACAAAAGAGAAGAUGGGUGUAGUUAAGUUGUUGCGUCACUGUCCACCAAACCUUCCAAAUCAAACAGAAGCGUCACUGCUCAGACAACCAAACCAAACUACCCAAACGUCCCUUUCGAUGUUUCACCAUCAACUGCUUAAACCACCAUUAACUCCUUUCUCCCAAAGUAUUCUUUUAUAUAUUCAAAGCUAUUUAAACACAAACAUAUCACAACUAAGCUGAAUAUAUACAAUUAUAAAUAAAUAUGUCAGUUAUGAUAAUUAUUAUUGAAUAACCUUUAUCUGCAGGUGGUAAAAUUAUGAUAAUUAUUAUUUGAUUUAGAAUGGAGUAAAAAAUUAUUCCGAUGUAUUACUCUGUCUUUCACCAAUAUAAUUUUUUUUAAAUUAAAAUAUGUUUUCAAGAAAAAGUAAAAUAUAUUUUCAUUUACUCCAAAAAGUAACAAAAGUGGUGAAAUCUAUUAUUCUAAACAAAUUCACAAAAAUAUUUUAUUCUAGGUUUUGCUUCUUUCUUUCCUUUGUAUUUCACUUUUUUAUUUUCAUCUUUUUACUCUGUUAAAUACCAAUAAAAACCGUAGAAAUUAUUAAGACUGAUUUUCGAGACGGAUAUGAAAAAUAAUUGAUUAAUUAUAACAUGUAAACUAUAAAAUUAUUAUAUUUGAAACAGUUAUAUAAACUUUUAGAUAUAUGAUUAACUUUAAAAAUGUAUACAACUAAUGAUAUAAUAUAUAUAUAUAUAUAUGCUUAUAAAAUUGAAAACAAGCAUCCGUGAAACUGCGCGGAUCAAGAUCUAGUUGUAUGUUUAAAAGAUGUGAUAUAACCGUCUAUUGUGGUUUCAAAUACCAUGCAAAGCUGUCUAUUGUUAUAGAUCAUCUACUAGAUUUUAACAUGAUUGCAUGAGGUAUUUUUAUUUUUAUUUACAAGUUAUGUUUUUUUCUUUGACUAUACAAGUUAUGUUUUAAACUUACAAUUUCAUGAUUUAGUGAUAUUUUAUAAAUUUUGGUUAUAAUAUUAUUAUUUUUUCUUUGAGUAAUUUAUUUAUAUGAGUCUUGAAGCGAUGCAUAUUUGUUACAACUAUAAAUAUUAUGCAGAUAAUUUAUCAAAAAAUUGUGUUAUGCGCGGAUACAAUGUUCAUUUUCAUAGCAUCGACAUUGUUAUUCACAGCUAUAUUUCAUUUUUGUAGUGAUACAUAAAUUGUUUUUUGAAAAAAUAAUUAAGAAUGUAUUAAGUGUCUUUCAAAAGUGUGUAUAUUAUAAGACGGACGAUGGAUAAUUUUUCGGUUGAUAUGUUUCUUAAAUGGAUAAUUAUUAUACUAAUAUUUAUUUGAAAAAAUGUAAAAUGUAUAAUAAUAAUUAAAGUUAUUUAAGUAAUGUGUUCCAGUAACCCGUUUUGUAAACCUUGUUCCUUAUACGUUUAACGUUAUAGUGCAUAGUGUUUGACUUUGAAGUAAAAAUAUAUGCACAUAACUUAUAUCUAGUGUGAUUUGUAAAUUUUGGUUAGGUUAAGUGUUAACCAAAUUAACAGAUUUGGAUGACCGAGGUUUUUGUAUAUAAUAUUUCAAAUAAUAUUACAUGUGUUGUUGGAUAAGUUCAAAUUUAAAUGAUAGUACAUAAGAAUAUGAUUCUAAAUUAAUAUAGUAGAUACUUUUAUAAAAACUUUAGUUCAAUGAAGUAGAUUAGUUAAACAGAUAAUAUAUAAUCUUAAACUAUAAAAAUAUUAGUUUUUUAUAUAAUUUCCAAUUAAAUAUUUUUUUUCUUCCAAAGUGUCGAUAUAAUAAAAGUGUUUGUAAAUAUUUAUCGUAUAUGGAUAGGUUUUAUAUCCAAUAAUUAUUUGAAGUAAUGUGAAACAUAUAAAAAUAUUUAAAGUUGUUAUAAGUAAUGCAAUCCAAUAACCCGUUCUAUAAUCGUCGUUUUUAUGCACUCAUUAUAAGAGUGUAAAUAGUGUUUAACGUAGUAAAACUUAUAAAUAGAUUUAAAAUUUACAUACUGAUACAUAUGCAAAUAACUUAAAUAUAUUGUGGUUGGUAAAUUUUUGUUAGGUUAAGUGUUAAUCUAAAACAAAACAUUCCGAUGACCAAAUUUUUUAGUAAUCAAAUUAUAUUAAAUAUAUUUACAAUCCAGUUGGAGUGUAUAUCAUUGGUUCAAUAUCGGAUUAUACCAAAUGGUUAACCAUAUGGUCUCAUUGUUUUAAAUAGAGGUUUACAUCAAAAAGAUUUUUUAUCUCUUUAUUUAUUUAUACCGUGUACUAAGGCUUUGAUUGCAAAUAUUAAAAAGGUAGCCAGAGCAUGUCUACCGAUAUAUCGUAUGCUUUUUGCAGACGAUAGUCUUCUCUUUUGUAAACUUCAAAAAGAAGAAUGUUAAACUAUUCUCAGAAUUUUAAAGGAGUAUGAGAUAGUAUCAGACCAACUCAUAAGUUUGAUAAGUUUUCGAUUCAAUUUGGGCACAAGGUUCAAGAAUCAGCCAGACAUGAGUUGAGAGAUAUUUUGGAUAUCCCGAAUUUUGGAGGAAUGAGAACUUAGCAAGGACUACCAAAAUUUUUUGGGAAAUCCAAAAUUCAAGUUUUUAGUUUUGUGCAAGGUAGGCUAAAUAAUAUGAUCAACGGUUAGACUUUUAAGUUUUUCACAAAAAGAAGAAAAAAAGUGAUCAUCAAAUCAAUGGUUUUGGUAUUACUAAAUCAUGUGAUGUCUUGUUAUCGUUUACCUAAGGCAACCGUAAAAAAACUGAUAAGCGCAGUAGCACAAUUCUGAUGGAGUCCAGGGAGAAGCACAAGAAGAAAUCAUGGGACAAAGUAUGUGUUAAUAAAGAGGAAAGAGGAUUGGGGUUCAAAUAUAUUACUGAUUUCAACACAGCGAUGAUUGGUAAACAGUUAUGGUGUUUGAUAGGGAAGACGAACACUUUAUUUUUUCGAGUUUUCAAAGGUCGGUAUUACAAGAACGCAUCACCCUUGGAACUGAUUUGUUCAUAUUCUCCGUCAUAUGGCUGGCGGAGUAUCAUAUAUGCUAGAUCUUUGGUAAGCAAAACACUAAUCAAAAAGGUAGAAUCAGGAUCAUCCAUAUCUGUAUGGAACGAUCUCUGGCUCUCAACCACUCGCCCGAGACUAGCUAAUAAAACCAACACAACUAUUACCCAAACCUCAAAGUGGAGACUCUCAUUGAUUCUACUCCAUGUUCUAAAACGCGGUCACCGCGGCCACAAACGCGGCGGUUAAGCGCUCCACGACUCUUAAGCGUCUUGAUUUUGCUAUACUCGGCUAAUUAUACAGAACACUUAGAAAAGUUAAUUUUUUUGUUCUUUUUGAGUUCAAAAUCAAUUGCUAUAUGAUAGAUCUGUGAGUUUAAUGUGUAAACAACAAAAAGUAAGCACAAGAUUUAAGGACUAUGUAUUUUUUAAUGGCGGUCGCAGAAGGUUUACAGUAAACGUAAACCCUUAAAAAAGGAAGACGAAGCUAAAAAUUAUGAUUAUGCCCUUCACAUUAAAAAAAGAGAGCAAAAAGCGUUGUUGCUGCGUUUCGAACACGAGUCCCGACAGUACUUAGGGAAAGCCGCAUCACCAGACCAUACUAACUUUUCAGAAUUGUUUACUUCAAACGCUUAAAACUUAAAAACUAAUCUGCGAUUAAUCUACGAUUAAUCCCCGCUUUUUUCAUUAUACGCUUGGCCCAAGCCGAGUGUACGGAUAACUCCUAGCGAGUUUCCGAACAGGGAUUCUACUUUGCAAACUUGGAACUCGCAGGCACUCCGGACUUUAAUGGAUCCACAUGAUGUAAAAAUUAUAGAAAAUAUACCACUGAGCAGAACCCAGAUGGUAGAUAGAGAUGGCUGUCAUUUCACAAACAAUGGAAAAUAUAUGGUUAAUCAGGAUAUCAGGUAGAACGGAUUUAUCCAGACAGGAAAAAACCACAGUUAAUAUUUGGACCCACAGUGAAUGUAUUGAAGGCAUUCUUCUGGAAAAUACGGUGCCCUCCAAAGAUAAAACGUUUUCUAUGGCAAUUGGUGACAAGGUGUGUAGCAGUCAAGAAGAAUCUGCAAGCGCGAGGGAUAACUGGAGAUAUAUGCUCUACAAGAUAUGAAGCCGAUGAGGAAUCGAUAAACCAUGUGUUUUUUGAAUGUCUGCUAGCGCUUCAGGUUUGUGCUCCUUGAAAGAUACCAUCAAAUCCAGCUAUUUUUCCAACAAGGUCUCUCUUUACAAACAUGGAUCAUCUCUUCUAGAGAGUCUUCCCGCAGUUAGAUGAUCAUCAGUUUGCAUGAUACUAUGGUACAUUUGGAAAGGAAUGCAUCAUAAAGUUUUUAGUAAUGUGGAAAUUGAUCCCAGGGACACGCUUAAAUUGGCAGAAACAGAAUCAAUACUCUGGGCUGAGGCACAUAUAGUGAGUGAACAAAGGACAGUAUCACACGUAGAGGUUACGUCUUUACCGCCAAUUCGAGGAAGAUGGUGUUUCACAGAUGGUUCCUAAAAAGAGAAUGAUAUUCUCUUUGUACAGGAUUGGUUCAACACUUUAGAAGGAUUUGAUGGGCUAGUGGAGGCGAGGAAUGUUCGGACUAGUUUCUGUCCUCUUCAUGCGGAGAUGGAAGUACUACUCUAGGCAAUAUAAUGUAUGAGGAACUUACUUCAAUUUCAGGUUAAGUUUGCUAACGGAUUGUUCUCAAUGGGUGAAGAUGGUUUCAGAACAAGAAUAAUGACCAGCUUUUGCAAGUUAUUUGAAAGAUAUUAAGGUCCUGGAAGAAAGUUUCCUACGAUCAGAGAUCAUCCAUGUACCAAGAACGCAAAAUUCAACGGCGGAUAGCCUAGCACGCAGGAAGCAACCGUCUUUUGUCGUUCACAUGGAUCAAUAUUAGGGCUGGGUUGCGGGUCAAACCCGCCCCAUUGACCCCUGGGUUUCAAAAAAAAAUUUGUCAAAAUAUCCAACCCACACAGUCCGCAGACAAAUAUAUUUAUAUCCGCACCCACCCCGCUUAAUUCUAGGGGUAACCAGCGGGUUAUAUUUUUUUUAAAAAAUAAUUAUGUAAUAUAUAUUUUUUUCUAAAAAUACUAAAAAUAAUAUAUUUAUAAAUAAAAUUUUAUAUAUUUUUAAAAUUUUAAUUAUUAUUUUUAAAAAUUACCGUAUUUUCUUUAAAAUAUACUUUUUAACAAAAACUAUACAUUUUUAACAAAAAAAUAUCUUUUUAAUUUUUUUUAAAAAAAAUUGCGGGUUGGCGGAUACCCGCGAUUCAAAGUCCACCAAUCCGCAUCCGCCCCGCAUAAAAUGCUCAUGCCCCGCACCCGCGAAUUGAUUUUUUCAAAUUGGUCGACCCUCACCUCCCCUGUGGUGGGUCAAACUGGCCGGGCCCGCGGGUGAAGACUCAUAUUCCCAGGCCUAAUCAAUAUAUUUCGGUUUGAUUUACAGAGUUUGUAUGAGUGUGUAUAAGUUGAUGACAAAGAAAGAACUAUUAUAAGUUUUGUUGGACCAUUUAAAUUUUAAAUGAUAAACUUUAUCAAAACAUAAAAAUAGAACUUUAAAUUAGUAGAGUAUAUAUAUAUCGCAAAAAAAUAUGUAGGAUCAUUAGUUGAAGAUUUAUAUACUGCGGAAAAUUUUGAAUCAUAGUCAUUGUUCAUCAUGAUUGUAUAUGAUGCAUAUAGUUAAUCCAUUAAUCAUCAUUUGUAAGAACAUAAAAAAUCUCUAAUUAAACAAAAGUCAUUGUUAAGAACAGUUUUAUUAAUUUUCAAAAAGAAAAAUUAUCAAUUUUUUUUUGUAAGACGCAAGUGUAUUCUGGCCUUUUGGAGAUUGAAGAAAGGGAGAAAAAAAAAACUAAUGGCGUCUCGACAAAAGAUAAGAUAAAAUUCGUGGCUUAUUUAUAAAAGUGGGCCAAACGAAAAGUAUUUGGGCCAAAGGACAAGGACAUAGCGGAGCUAUACUGAGCCAGACGCGUACAUAAAUCACACACUUAACAACUCGUUAACUUACGCUCGUGACAGCUAGAGACAACUAACUUCAAAACGCUUUAUUAGUGUAGUGGGUCUGUUUUGUAUGAAAGUUGACAUGUUAUUGCUGAUCUGGCACAUAUCUGAUGUAAACGUGGCAUCAUCAUCGCGGCUAACUUUGUCGCCCACGUUAUGUCCUUUCUCUGUUACCCUAUUAGCUGAAACAUGAUUGGCCAACUGAUUCCAUUUAUAUCUUUACAUCUUUUUCUGUUUAUUUUGUCAACUCAUCUCUUGUGAUUUCCUAUUAUUAUUUUUUGUUUCAAGCAAUGAUGAUGAAAAAGAUUCUUAGCUCCUAAAUAUAAGAGAAUGGAACAAGAUUCUUUCAUUUAAUUGAUUUUUAUUAUAUUUGUUGUCAACAUCUUAAUGAUUUUAGGAUGUAACUAUAAUUUAUCAAUAUCAAAAUAAUAGAAGUUAACUCAAGCAAGAUGGCGCAGUGGUUAACUAGGUCGAGUAUUUUGGGUGUGCAUAAAUUCCCUAAUGUUAUUGAAUCGUAUUGCUUAAUUUAUGCUAAAAUAUGCUCGCCUAAAAAUAAGCAAUGUUGAUUUACUAUUCGCCAGUAACAUCUACUCUAAAUAAAAUUUAAAGUAUAUAUAGAGAUGUAGCCACCACUUACAUAAUAUUCACAUGUCAUAUAUUUUCAAAACAUUUGUCUGGGUGUGAAGUGAGAUUGGAAAGACAAAUCACACAUAAUUCAGCUUAUGGGUAAAAAAAAAAGAAACCACUCGGAGUUGUAAGUGUUUGUUUGAGCAUGCUACGCCAUUCUAGUUGUCAACAUACUGGAUCAGAUUGCAAAGACAUGAUUUUGAUGAUUAAAAACCUUAAAUAUGGCCAAGUUUUUUUAUUAGAGUCAAAGGAGUUUGCAAAAUUACAAAAAAAUUGUAAGCCUUCAACAUUUCUUGUAUAUUUCGGAUGCAAACUGCAAUUGUUGAUUCAUUAGUUAGAAUUGUUAAUCUAUUUUUUCGGAUCACUUUUGUUUAAAAAAUAGAAUAAUUUUUAUGUCAAUUUUUUUUUAAACGCUUAAUGACUCAAAACCGAUAUUGUUAUGAAUCUUUACUCAAAAAAAGACUAUAAAAAUAUAUGUGAUUGGUUAUAACUUUUGUUUGAAAUACUGACCACAAGACUCGAUACUAAUUCUUUAAAAAUAGUAUAAGUUCAUGUAUAUUUAUUAUAGGUUAAAAUGAUUUGUUAUAAAUUUUUAUUUGAAAUAUUGGACUUGGAAAUGUGCUAUCCAUUCCGGAUUCGAAACCUAUUUUUUAUUAUGGGAUAUCUAAUUAUCUUGUAAAACAGUCAUGCUUAUCUAUUACUGGUAAAUUGAUCUCUUAAGGAUUAGUAUGAACCUCAACAUGAUAUAUUGACACAAAAUACUCGGUAAUACCAAAAGAAAUAGUAAGAGUCUUGUACAUUUAUUGUAUAUUUUUAUUGUGUACAUUUAUUGUAUAUUUCACGAAACUAGUCGAAUAGCUAGCUAUCAACAAUAAUCGAUGGUACAGAACAAAACAUAUAUAAUUGGAUAUUUUAAACAAAAAAAAUAUAAUUGAAGAUAAGCUGGGCCAUAAUAAUUGAUGUUUUUGUUUUCACUCAACUCUUAAAUGAUUUUGUUUUUUGUCCAUUAACAAAUAAAUAUAAAAUAAAAUAAAAAGAAAUAAUAAAUA